UAUCUGCCCGCGUCUCUUGAAGAUAGAUCAUCAACGGAGGAAGGAACGGGACCAUGCGCGCACUCUGCUUGGAUGGACACUCGUGAGUGUCCGCGUGCGUGUCUGUCUUUGUGUGUGCCAGCUCUAAUCAGACCCCUUCACUCUCCGCCUUUAGAGGAGAUCACAGACUCCAUCUGCGGUGCACACAAAAAGGGGCCGGCCAGAAUCACGCUGCAUCAGCACACACGCACCCUCUCACCUUCCCCUAACUCACUGAACUGCACCAUGAACCGACCAAACUCAAACUUCGCAGCAGAAUCACCACCGACGUCGUCUGCAUUGCAGUCUUCUAUCGCUCCUCUCUCUCUCUAGCCGCACCCCACUGGCGAGGUCGGCCACGUAUGAGCGUCCGUCCUACCGCCGCCUAAGCUCAGCUGAUGCGGAGCAUCUCGGCUUUAGCGCACCAAACUGCUGCGAAGACACCGCUCGCGUCGCGAGUUACUGGGGCCGCCAUCUUCUGCCACAGAGGGAGGAGGGAAGGAGGACCCCACGAUGAUGGCGUUGGCUGACAGUCACACCCCCGCCGCCGUGCGAUGGGACGUGCUGCCGCCGGUCUCAUUCUGCGAUGCCCCCGAUGCUGUCGGCGCGCGACUCUUCUCAACUUUGCCGCUGCUGCUUGGGCACCUCGACUACUUUCCCGAGCCGAGACAAGGCCGACGCGUCGGCGGUGCCGGCCGUAGUCUGUCUCAGUGACACACGCGGCAGUGGCGCAUCUUGCUUGGCGCCGUUGCUAUACCGCCACCCUCGCCGCAUCCCGCGCGUGACGGAGAUCCCUGCAAAGAACAUGGCGGAGAAACUAUGCAAGCCCCAUCAAAUGCCUCUGAAGCCACACAGGUGCCGCAACGUUGGACGUCAGUGGACGCGUCACAUCACCAGGCACCGCUCGGCCGAGAGCAGCUCGCUGCAUUUUGCCUUAGGAGCCGAAGCAACACGAGGCUGAAGCUGUGCAUACCGCCGACGCAUCAAGAAGAAAGUACUCACGCCGCCUUUUUGUUGCGGCCCUCGCGUUUCAAGGGGACAAAAAGCACAUUGGCACUCAUCUGCACAUACGCGCGUGCUUAUGUGUGUGUGUGUGGGAAAGGAGGGGGGGGGCUCUGCUUCGAUCUGCUAACAGUAAGCUCUUCGCUUGGUGCGCGGUCGCGCAGGAAAGCGCCGCGCCGAGGCCCACUCUUUGCUCAUUGCUCUCCACCUUGCUUCUUUCUCUUGCUGUUGCUUACAG
This 1258-nucleotide unclassified non-coding RNA is filed under the name Leishmania donovani. Its description in RNAcentral is "gene:unknown". The record is from RNAcentral. Lineage: Eukaryota; Euglenozoa; Kinetoplastea; Trypanosomatida; Trypanosomatidae.